GGAAUAUAAAAUAAGAAAACAACUUCCCGCCCAUAUAAAACACUGCGUUUAGACUAUGCAAAAAAUAUCAGGAAACACAAUUAUUAAUUACCUAGGUAUUUACAAUUCAACUUUUCGUAUUCCAAGAACAUUGUCUCAGCCACCACUAUUAAAUUACUAUCUAAACCAAUGCUAUUAAUCAAAGACACCACAUCUGUCCUACAUGAUAAGCAAAUGAAGAUAAGGUUCUGUUCUGUUCGUAGAGAAUUUUAACCUUCUAAACCAUCGAGCAAAUGAAGAAGCUUACAGGUUCCGUUCGUAUAGGAUCCAAGAGAAAAUCUGCUGACAACAACAAAGGAUCUGGCUUACCACUUUUGUCAUUGAAGGGGUCCUCAAGUGUAGGUAGGCUGAAACACAUGCCCUAUUGAUUCAGAAUAGACCUAAAUUUCCAACUCAAGAGAAGUAAUCACGAACAACAGAGGUAGGGAUAAAUUCCAUCAUGUACCACAUCUAUCAUUUAUGCAAAAAUUUGUUAACGAGCAAUGAGAAUAACACAUAAGAAAAUGCUGAAAUA
Long non-coding RNA from Ipomoea nil (Japanese morning glory), 553 nucleotides. RefSeq lists it as uncharacterized. The transcript is spliced from 2 exons. The record is from RefSeq and is a predicted model, not a curated record. Lineage: Eukaryota; Viridiplantae; Streptophyta; Magnoliopsida; Solanales; Convolvulaceae.